Long non-coding RNA from Mustela lutreola (European mink), 2181 nucleotides. RefSeq lists it as uncharacterized. The record is from RefSeq and is a predicted model, not a curated record. The transcript has 2 exons. NCBI's taxonomy places the organism in Eukaryota, Metazoa, Chordata, Mammalia, Carnivora, Mustelidae.
UCCAAAAGAAGAAGUAACAGGAAUGCGGGUUUCUCCUGCAAUCCAAAAGUAGAGAUUUCCUAUGAAAACUUUCCUAAGCCAAAAUGGUGUAAAGUGAGGAAGCGAUGACCAUUAAUUGAUAUGGAAACAUUUUUGAACAUCCCCAGACCCAAAAAAUAACUCCUUCUAGGUUUUCCUUAGGACACAUCAUGCUAACUGUAGUGAGUACGAACCUUUAAUAAAUAAAGUGUAAUAAAUAAAUGAAUAAAUAAAUAAAUAAUAUGUAGUAAGUGCAAAUCCCUACUAAAUGAAAAACAGGAACAAAUUGCAAACUAACCACAUAGCAAGUAAGCCUAGACCAUAUGCGUGUGGUGAUAACAAACUAACCACAUAGCAAAUACCACAUAGCAAGUAAGCCUAGACCAAAUGCGUGUAGUGAUAAGAUUAGCGCGGAGUAACAAGUUGUAAAUAUUUUAACUCCUGCGAAAUAUCGUAGACCAAAACAUGUUUACGACGUGUGUAUGUUUUUGGUGUGUAAGCAUAAGAAAAAUAAGUGAUGUAAUGUGUUUAUGAAGGAGACUUAGCACAGUAUAUAGAGGCAUCGGGUUGGACUGAAGUGAAGCGAGUUCCCUGUCGGGAGAAUGUCAUCGCGGGUGCUACCGUGCUACCGACAUCCCAACAGUUUCAUUGCCAACCACUCGCUGGUUCUCAGUCUCAACUUCUGCGGUGACCUCUCUAUCUAGAUUGUGAGGCGACGUCUCCUUCUCCAUGACAACAUCAGCGGACCGUGACCGGGCCACGAUAGUGGUGCGGACCUCCUCCCAAUAAAGAUCAAGUACUUACAACACAGUGUGUCAAAGUAUGUUGUAUCCAGAUGUUCAGCCUGAGGAAAGAUAUCCCUGUUGGAACACAACCUAGAUCCUGGCCAAUGUGACUGGUGUCCUGUGAAAUCUUGUGAGAAAAUACCAGGAGAUGGAGGGCAAGAAUCUUCCUGGGCCAACGCCUGCAUUAAACGUGGGAGGAUCCGUGGGGUGUUUUCCUGUCCUCUAGAUAGAUCUGAUAAUUAUGCAGAAUCCUUAACUCGCUCUUGUCAUUUAAAGCUAAGAGAUACUGUCAUUUAAAGCUAAGAGAUAAUUGUUGUUCACUUGUCUCACUUGAUUGCCUGCAUGUAAAUCACAUUUCACAUGUAGCCUACCCCCUGCACAUAAAUCUAUAUCCUGUUUAUAAUUGGAUCUUGUGGAAGGUAUAAAAGAAGAGACUGUAAGAAAUAAAGAUGCCUACUGAUCAUCAGUCAGUAGUCCCCCCAUCAUUUUGGCCCAGAUCAUCAGGAUCCCCACCUCACAAAGGUGACAAUCCCCAAAAGAUUAGAUUGCUCUAUCCUAUCUCUCCCAUGAUAAAUUACACAUGCUCUGCCUAUGUUUCCUGACAUUCGACAUUCAAAAGCAAAAAUUCAAAAUUAAUUUGACUAUAGAUACUAUCUCAAUCUUUGCAUGACAUCAUUAGCAUGUUUAUAGUAAGAAAUUAUAGCAGUGUACAAAAGGUGACUAUUAUUCAUUUAAGUUGCAAAUUAGGUCAUUGAUUUCCUUUUUCUUUUCUUGAAUGUCCUCUAUAUUCUGUUUCCCCUUUCUGUUAGUAAUACUAAGCUGGGUACAGGGUCACAUAACUGGGUCCCAAGCCUCUUGCAACUAAGUAUUGCCAUAUUUCAGUUCUCAAAAUGACAUAUGAGCAGAAUUGUACCCAGCUUCGGCCUAAGGGAAUGCUUUAACCCAAAGUUCCUCUAUCAUUCUCAUUUGUUUAGAUUGCAAUGUAGAAAAGACCAUAACCAAAUUUCAACCUACAAAGGAAGAUAAUUCCUGAGGACAGGAAUUCUUUUCCUUUCUGGGGCCAUAAACUCUCUUUGGUAGCUUAGUAGAACCCAUAGACUCCUACUUUGAAAAGUGUUUGGGAAUGCUUAAAAUAAAAUACAUAAGAUUACAAAGGAAAUUAAUUCAGUAUGAAAGUUCUGAAAAUAUUUUAAAAACUAGUUAUGACCUAGUAAUAUGUGUUUCCUUAUUAGGAAAUAAGAUCUAGUAGCAGAUCCAAUAAAAACUGAUUUUUUUUUGAACCGAUGGACUGAAAUGAUAUUUCAAGAUCAUCUGCACUAACUCUGAUAAUCUGAAAAUACCUGCGAUAUAUAUGAUGACAAAUAUAUUAUUAAUACUA